UACAGAGGGUGCGAGCGUUGUCCGGAAUCAUUGGGCGUAAAGAGCGUGUAGGCGGCCCGAUAAGUCCGCUGUGAAAGUCCAGGGCUCAACCCUGGGAUGCCGGUGGAUACUGUCGGGCUCGAGUCCGGAAGAGGAGUGUGGAAUUCCUGGUGUAGCGGUGAAAUGCGCAGAUAUCAGGAGGAACACCAAUGGCGAAGGCAGCACUCUGGGACGUGACUGACGCUGAGACGCGAAAGCGUGGGGAGCGAACAGG
RNAcentral lists this ribosomal RNA (253 nucleotides) under uncultured bacterium. RNAcentral describes it as "partial 16S ribosomal RNA". It matches the Rfam family "Bacterial small subunit ribosomal RNA", at positions 524 to 776 of the family's 1533-position model. The record is from RNAcentral.